This 253-nucleotide ribosomal RNA is filed under the name uncultured bacterium. Its description in RNAcentral is "partial 16S ribosomal RNA". It matches the Rfam family "Bacterial small subunit ribosomal RNA", at positions 524 to 776 of the family's 1533-position model. The record is from RNAcentral.
UACGUAGGGUGCGAGCGUUGUCCGGAAUUAUUGGGCGUAAAGGGCUCGUAGGCGGUUUGUCGCGUCGGGAGUGAAAACUCAGGGCUUAACCCUGAGCCUGCUUCCGAUACGGGCAGACUAGAGGUAUGCAGGGGAGAACGGAAUUCCUGGUGUAGCGGUGAAAUGCGCAGAUAUCAGGAGGAACACCGGUGGCGAAGGCGGUUCUCUGGGCCACAACUGACGCUGAGGAGCGAAAGCAUGGGGAGCGAACAGG